CCGUGGUGACCGAACCGCUUCACUCCCCGAGUUGUUGGUCGUGUGGUGCUGUGAUUACCAGUCGAACGGUUCAAAGUUGAUGUGGAUUAAUAACCCUUUUCACUGACGGGAUGUAUGUAUGUGUGGAUGGCUCAUACACAUUUGUAAUCCUACUGUGCUAAGGCUACGAUUAUCGAUUCACGUUGAAAGCCCCCAAAGACAAGCCCGUGAAGAAAUUGAUCCUAACGCGGAGUUAUACUUAGACGAAAAACGGGUGAUUAGCCAUUAACUAGCGCGGGCCGCAUUAGACGGACUUUAUGGAUUUUUGGCCGGCUUGCUAGUAACUGGGAAAUACAUACAGGAAUUAUUUGACUACAUCGGUAGCUCGGUCAGGGGAGACGAUUCAACACAAGGGAGGUAACGAGGAUUAUACAAAUUAAAUACAGGGAUAUUUUAGAGAGCGUAUCACAAUAGAACUGACGUUUGUAUUGAUGGGAUUUUCCUUUUAUUAAG
This is a long non-coding RNA of Physella acuta, 492 nucleotides long. RefSeq lists it as uncharacterized. The record is from RefSeq and is a predicted model, not a curated record. NCBI's taxonomy places the organism in Eukaryota, Metazoa, Mollusca, Gastropoda, Physidae.